This 427-nucleotide ribosomal RNA is filed under the name uncultured Variovorax sp. RNAcentral's name for it is "bacterial SSU rRNA". It matches the Rfam family "Bacterial small subunit ribosomal RNA", at positions 353 to 772 of the family's 1533-position model. Lineage: Bacteria; Pseudomonadati; Pseudomonadota; Betaproteobacteria; Burkholderiales; Comamonadaceae. The record is from RNAcentral.
AGUGGGGAAUUUUGGACAAUGGGCGCAAGCCUGAUCCAGCCAUGCCGCGUGCAGGAUGAAGGCCUUCGGGUUGUAAACUGCUUUUGUACGGAACGAAACGGCCUUUUCUAAUAAAGAGGGCUAAUGACGGUACCGUAAGAAUAAGCACCGGCUAACUACGUGCCAGCAGCCGCGGUAAUACGUAGGGUGCAAGCGUUAAUCGGAAUUACUGGGCGUAAAGCGUGCGCAGGCGGUAAUGUAAGACAGUUGUGAAAUCCCCGGGCUCAACCUGGGAACUGCAUCUGUGACUGCAUUGCUGGAGUACGGCAGAGGGGGAUGGAAUUCCGCGUGUAGCAGUGAAAUGCGUAGAUAUGCGGAGGAACACCGAUGGCGAAGGCAAUCCCCUGGGCCUGUACUGACGCUCAUGCACGAAAGCGUGGGGAGCAAA